Molecule: non-coding RNA, 28 nt
Filed under: Homo sapiens (human)
Lineage: Eukaryota; Metazoa; Chordata; Mammalia; Primates; Hominidae
Source: RNAcentral
UCAGGGCACAGAUUUUGACAAACACGAG